This 192-nucleotide ribosomal RNA is filed under the name Triticum aestivum (bread wheat). RNAcentral describes it as "partial small subunit ribosomal RNA". The record is from RNAcentral. Lineage: Eukaryota; Viridiplantae; Streptophyta; Magnoliopsida; Poales; Poaceae.
AUGUAUCCUCACUCUCCUACUCCUCCCCGAUCUUCCUACAUCGUCACCGCCCCUCAAGUUGCUAUCAGAUCCGUCAAAAGACGGAUGGCCAAACCUGGUGGAGUUGGUGAUGUUGAGAUGACCGAAGAGGUGAUGCGAGUUUAUGAAGAAGAAGAAGAAGAAGAAGAAGAAAGAAAGAAAAGAGGAGCAUGA